UACAGAGGUGGCAAGCGUUGUUCGGAAUUACUGGGCGUAAAGGGCGAGUAGGUGGCCAUCUAAGUCAGACGUGAAAUCCCCCGGCUUAACCUGGGAACUGCGUCUGAUACUGGACGGCUUGAGUAUGGGAGAGGAACGUAGAAUUCCAAGUGUAGCGGUGAAAUGCGUAGAUAUCUGGAGGAAUACCGGUGGCGAAGGCGGCGUUCUGGACCAUUACUGACACUGAAUCGCGAAAGCUAGGGGAGCAAACGGG
Molecule: ribosomal RNA, 253 nt
Filed under: uncultured bacterium
Lineage: Bacteria
Description: partial 16S ribosomal RNA
Rfam family: Bacterial small subunit ribosomal RNA
Source: RNAcentral